GUCUACGGCCAUACCACCUUGAAUGCACCCGACCUCAUCUAAUCUUGAAGACUAAGCAGGGUCGGGCCUGGUUAGUACUUGGAUGGGAGAAAAAACAAAGAAAAGCAUAAUAGCUU
This 116-nucleotide ribosomal RNA is filed under the name Carlito syrichta (Philippine tarsier). The record is from RNAcentral. Lineage: Eukaryota; Metazoa; Chordata; Mammalia; Primates; Tarsiidae.